Molecule: non-coding RNA, 18 nt
Filed under: Arabidopsis thaliana (thale cress)
Lineage: Eukaryota; Viridiplantae; Streptophyta; Magnoliopsida; Brassicales; Brassicaceae
Source: RNAcentral
CGCGCUACACUGAUGUAU